This 231-nucleotide ribosomal RNA is filed under the name uncultured Anoxybacillus sp. RNAcentral describes it as "partial 16S ribosomal RNA". It matches the Rfam family "Bacterial small subunit ribosomal RNA", at positions 1152 to 1382 of the family's 1533-position model. The record is from RNAcentral. Lineage: Bacteria; Bacillati; Bacillota; Bacilli; Caryophanales; Anoxybacillaceae.
GCGGCUAAAAGUCGGAGGAAGGUGGGGAUGACGUCAAAUCAUCAUGCCCCUUAUGACCUGGGCUACACACGUGCUACAAUGGGCGGUACAAAGGGUCGCGAACCCGCAGGGGGAGCCAAUCCCAAAAAGCCGCUCUCAGUUCGGAUUGCAGGCUGCAACUCGCCUGCAUGAAGCCGGAAUCGCUAGUAAUCGCGGAUCAGCAUGCCGCGGUGAAUACGUUCCCCGGGCCUU